Molecule: ribosomal RNA, 427 nt
Filed under: uncultured bacterium
Lineage: Bacteria
Description: bacterial SSU rRNA
Rfam family: Bacterial small subunit ribosomal RNA
Source: RNAcentral
UGGGGAAUUUUGGACAAUGGGCGCAAGCCUGAUCCAGCCAUGCCGCGUGCAGGAUGAAGGCCUUCGGGUUGUAAACUGCUUUUGUACGGAACGAAAAGACUCCUUCUAAUAAAGGGGGUCCAUGUCGGUACCGUAAGAAUAAGCACCGCCUAACUACGUGCCAGCAGCCGCGGUAAUACGCAGGGUGCGAGCGUUAAUCGGAAUUACUUGGCGUAAAGCGUACGCAGGCGGUUUUAUAAGACUGAUGUGAAAUCCCCGGGCUCAACCUGGGACCUGAAUUUGAGACUGUAUAGCUUGAGUACAGUAGAGGAGAAUGGAAUUCCGAGUGUAGCAGUGAAAUGCGUAGAUAUGCGGAGGAACACCGAUGGCGAAGGCAGUCCCCUGGACCGGAACUGACGCUCAUGAGCGAAAGAGUGGGGAGCAAACA